This 57-nucleotide transfer RNA is filed under the name Rattus norvegicus (Norway rat). It matches the Rfam family "tRNA", at positions 8 to 63 of the family's 71-position model. Rfam says of the family: Transfer RNA (tRNA) molecules are approximately 80 nucleotides in length. Their secondary structure includes four short double-helical elements and three loops (D, anti-codon, and T loops). Lineage: Eukaryota; Metazoa; Chordata; Mammalia; Rodentia; Muridae. The record is from Rfam by way of RNAcentral.
UAGCUCAGUGGUAGAGCAUUUGCCUAGGAAGCGCAAGGCCCUGGGUUCAGUCCCCAG